UGGGGAAUUUUGGACAAUGGGCGCAAGCCUGAUCCAGCAAUGCCGCGUGCAGGAUGAAGGCCUUCGGGUUGUAAACUGCUUUUGUACGGAACGAAAAGGCUCUGGUUAAUACCUGGGGCUCAUGACGGUACCGUAAGAACAAGCACCGGCUAACUACGUGCCAGCAGCCGCGGUAAUACGUUGGGUGCAAGCGUUAAUCGGAAUUACUGGGCGUAAAGCGUGCGCAGGCGGUUAUGUAAGACAGAUGUGAAAUCCCCGGGCUCAACCUGGGACCUGCAUUUGUGACUGCAUAGCUGGAGUGCGGCAGAGGGGGAUGGAAUUCCGCGUGUAGCAGUGAAAUGCGUAGAUAUGCGGAGGAACACCGAUGGCGAAGGCAAUCCCCUGGGCCUGCACUGACGCUCAUGCACGAAAGCGUGGGAGCAAACA
This 426-nucleotide ribosomal RNA is filed under the name uncultured bacterium. Its description in RNAcentral is "bacterial SSU rRNA". It matches the Rfam family "Bacterial small subunit ribosomal RNA", at positions 355 to 774 of the family's 1533-position model. The record is from RNAcentral.